Molecule: small RNA, 238 nt
Filed under: Vigna angularis var. angularis
Lineage: Eukaryota; Viridiplantae; Streptophyta; Magnoliopsida; Fabales; Fabaceae
Description: Non-protein coding transcript
Source: RNAcentral
CUAGAGUGGCUGUGUCAGACACAAGUCGAGUAAAAAGUCCAAAGAGCCAUCCACGAACGAAGUCUCACCGAUGAGUCCUGCACUGAGCCAAGCCCAGAAACUGUGUAAAAAGAAUUGAGUCUUGGUUAGUUGCUUUAUAGUUCUUUCAACUUUUGAAAUGGGCGGUUUGUAGCGUGAUUGCAAGAGGUCCGAAUAUCAAUUAAGAGAGGUUUCCGAAUGAGAGGGUUGAGCAGUGGAG